Triticum aestivum (bread wheat) is the source of this 3124-nucleotide long non-coding RNA. RefSeq lists it as uncharacterized. The transcript has 5 exons. Lineage: Eukaryota; Viridiplantae; Streptophyta; Magnoliopsida; Poales; Poaceae. The record is from RefSeq and is a predicted model, not a curated record.
CUCUCGGUACUGCUUCGCCCCCACCAAAAAAUCCCCACGAUCGUUCCUACCCGCUCGCUCCGUCCCCGACUCCCCCUCCCUCCCACGCCUCGCGCCUCCUUGCACCGCUCCGGCAGCCGCUCGCCAUCCGCCGUCGCCGGCGACCACCAGCAGCGCCCGUCGCGCCUCUCCGCGCGCCACUCGGAGGCCCCAGCCAGGCUGCGCAGCCGUCCUCCACAACCCGGGCCUCCUCCUCGACCUCGCCUCUCCGUGCGACAACCGGCGUCGCCGCCGGCAGCGCCCGUCGCGCCUCUCCGCGCCUCUCCGCGCGCCAGUCGGAGCCCCCAGCCAGGCCGCGCAGCCGUCCUCCACAACCCGGGCCUCCUCCUCGACCUCGCCUCUCCGUGCGACAACCGGCGUCGCCGCCGGCGGCCACGGGUCCAGCGCCGCCUUCGUCCUCCACCUUCUCCUAAAGCGCGCGUUCGCCGCGGGCGCUGGAGGUGGCGCGGCGGUCCUCGCCCUCAAGCUCACUGAGGACGGCGUCCUUGCCGAGCAGCUCGACGAGAGCAGGAGGCUCGCCUCGCUGCCAAUGUCACUGAACUGAAUUGGCAGCCAUCUCAGCCACGUCUUUCAGCACGUAACCGGCGAACCCAUUCAGCAGCUCCUGGGCAAACAGCUUUGACCCCUGUUAACACGUUAUGAGGAUCCAUGGCCUCUUCUUCUAUUUCUUCAGUGUUUCUGCUGCAUCUUCCUGACACUGGUCCUCAACUAGCUUAUUUUGCUCUUCUUUCUGAAGAUCCAUGGCCUGCUUUUCCAAUUGUUGAGUGGGUACAGUAGUCUUCAUAUCAUCACCUAAUUGAUUGCAAACAAAAUUCUCAUCCGUUUCAGAUACGAUAGUCAAGACACAUAACGCGGUACACUGCAACUACAGAAAGGCAUGGGACACGCACCGAUUUAAGUCCAUGUCAGGGGCAUCACCUGUCUCACGUUCGCAGGAGGAAGAAGCUCCGAGUUCGCCGGAGGUACACAAACAUCCGUCGAGCACUCCAAUGUCGCCUACGGCGUCUGCACCAGAGGUGCCAAAGGCGUCUCAGGUGGAGGCGAAGGAGGUUCUUCUAAUUCCUAAGGCACCAGACUGGACAUUCCUAUGUUGACUACCAUUUAUGGUCAAUAAAGUUGUCCGUGUUUGUUUUUGAUUGCUCAACUAAAUAUCUGAAGCCAAAUGAUGUAUGCAUUCAUGUUUCUCCUCUAAGGCAGAAAGACUGGACAUUCCUAUGGAUGCCCAGUACAAACGAAGAUGGGUUCCCGAUUGUUCCUAGAUAUUUCAGAGCAACUAGAGUGGUCUUACCUGACAAGCUCCAAUGUUGUGCUGAAGUAUUUUGAACAAGCUUGUCCUUUGCCUUAUGCUGGAACAAGGCACCUUCUAUUCCCCAUGGGCACCAAGAAUGCGAAGACAUUGACGAUUCGAGCAAAUGUAGGUUCAGGCUUCAAGAUUGAGCCGAGCGCCCUACCAGCAGAUCGGGAUAAUGCAUAUCAGCGAUUGGAUAUUUCUGGCCCUACAGUUAACCCUUUUGUUUUUUCCUGUAUGGUGAGGGCGAGAUAAAAGAUAUGCUUUCUGUUUGUGCUGAGCAUGGAGCUUGGGUAGUGAUAGACACCUUCUCUGGUCUGGAGUUCCACAACAGAGAUGGCUGGAUUUUGCGGAACGGGAUGAUAUUUUCACAAGCCCAAGUCGACAUAUUUCACAAGUACUUUUUUUUCUUCGAAAAGGAGGAUAUUUUCACAAGCCCAAGCCGACCACAUGGCACUUUGAAAUGCACUUAUAGGAAGCUGUUGGUUCUGAAGAACAAGAGGGAUCAACAUUUCUCUAAUCUCAUCACGCCAACAAACUGACGAAGGUACCACUGUGGUAUUUAGAUGCUGGCGAAACCGACGGCGUACAUCGGCAAAUCGUUCAGGGUGGAUGAUUUUGAAGGCGAGCUCGACGGCUGCAAUAUCAGGGAAGCCCUACUGAACUACUGCAGGUUCAGCUUACCGUGUAGUAUUUUCUUUACAACAAGGCCUCACACGAGCAAAACUGUCAUCUUGUUGUUUAGUUUUGGCCCGGGACUGCAAUUUUUCCCCUUAUUGCAUCCCUUAGUGCAUAAAAUAAAAUAUAUAAUGUGCAUAAAAGCUGAAAACAACCAUUACGAUCAUAGUAGGCGAACUGAAAUUGUAGGGAUAUAAAGCAGCACCUGAACAUACAAAAGCUGGCCACAACUCUGUCUUCAAUUCCAUCUUGUUUCCAGAUUUCAGGAGUAGAUCAUCACCACCAUCACGACGAUCAGGCUCUUUGUCAGUGCAAAUAACAGACUAACACCACAAGGACUUCAUUAACCUUAGCCACUUCUUAUGGGUACAUGAGAACUAAAAAAAUUCAUCUGUUAAAAUUUGUUUUUGUGACUGUUUGGACUAAUUCAUGUGCAUAAUUUAUAUUUUCAAUUAGACUGAUUUAUUGUAGUUUUAUCAAUGAAGUAUAUUAAGAUGUGGGCAUUAUAUCGAAAGUUUUGUUCUACACGCGAGGUCAUGUGAGCUCGGGUGAACAGUAAAAUAAAUAAAAAAAUGGAAAAACAAUUCAAAAAAUGUGAUUUCUUUUUGUAUGAGACACAGAAAAAAUGUUUAUUGGCUUGCAAAAUUUCAAUACUAUCUUUCUUGACUGAUUGUUUGUGGUCUGCCAUGAGCCCACGACGUACCCAUCUGCAUCUGCCUCGCCUUGAGGCCACAGCAGCACCCCUGCCCUUCUGCUCCUGCUGGCGACCGCAACCCUCUGGCGGCAGCGACACCGCUCUCGUGUGCUGGCCUUGCUGUCUCAUCUCCUCUCGCUCUCAUGUUUGAGUCUGAUGUUAGCGUUAUGUGUGUGUGGAUGGAUAUGAUGCUACCACGGUGUGUGUACAAAUCUAUUUUUGGUUUAUUUUUCUUUGGAGUAUUGCUGUUGGAGAUGAGCUUAAGAGGCGAAAGAGUAAAGAUCUGGUAAGCUGUUUGUAUUGCUUCAGGAGAAUCUUUUAUCACUGUUUUUGGGACUGUAUUUAUGUCAAAGAGGCAUGUAGGGAGCUGGAACAAAUUUGUUACUUCUCAUGGCCACUUUUUUGAACAUGAUUAUUGAGCUUGA